RNAcentral lists this ribosomal RNA (1384 nucleotides) under Actinomycetes bacterium. Its description in RNAcentral is "bacterial SSU rRNA". It matches the Rfam family "Bacterial small subunit ribosomal RNA". The record is from RNAcentral. Lineage: Bacteria; Bacillati; Actinomycetota; Actinomycetes.
UGCAGUCGAACGGUGAAGCCAAGCUUGCUUGGUGGAUCAGUGGCGAACGGGUGAGUAACACGUGAGCAACCUGCCCUGGACUCUGGGAUAAGCGCUGGAAACGGCGUCUAAUACUGGAUAUGAGCUCUCAUCGCAUGGUGGGGGUUGGAAAGAUUUUUCGGUCUGGGAUGGGCUCGCGGCCUAUCAGCUUGUUGGUGAGGUAAUGGCUCACCAAGGCGUCGACGGGUAGCCGGCCUGAGAGGGUGACCGGCCACACUGGGACUGAGACACGGCCCAGACUCCUACGGGAGGCAGCAGUGGGGAAUAUUGCACAAUGGGCGGAAGCCUGAUGCAGCAACGCCGCGUGAGGGAUGACGGCCUUCGGGUUGUAAACCUCUUUUAGCAGGGAAGAAGCGAGAGUGACGGUACCUGCAGAAAAAGCGCCGGCUAACUACGUGCCAGCAGCCGCGGUAAUACGUAGGGCGCAAGCGUUAUCCGGAAUUAUUGGGCGUAAAGAGCUCGUAGGCGGUUUGUCGCGUCUGCUGUGAAAUCCCGAGGCUCAACCUCGGGCCUGCAGUGGGUACGGGCAGACUAGAGUGCGGUAGGGGAGAUUGGAAUUCCUGGUGUAGCGGUGGAAUGCGCAGAUAUCAGGAGGAACACCGAUGGCGAAGGCAGAUCUCUGGGCCGUAACUGACGCUGAGGAGCGAAAGGGUGGGGAGCAAACAGGCUUAGAUACCCUGGUAGUCCACCCCGUAAACGUUGGGAACUAGUUGUGGGGACCAUUCCACGGUUUCCGUGACGCAGCUAACGCAUUAAGUUCCCCGCCUGGGGAGUACGGCCGCAAGGCUAAAACUCAAAGGAAUUGACGGGGACCCGCACAAGCGGCGGAGCAUGCGGAUUAAUUCGAUGCAACGCGAAGAACCUUACCAAGGCUUGACAUACACCAGAACACCGUAGAAAUACGGGACUCUUUGGACACUGGUGAACAGGUGGUGCAUGGUUGUCGUCAGCUCGUGUCGUGAGAUGUUGGGUUAAGUCCCGCAACGAGCGCAACCCUCGUUCUAUGUUGCCAGCACGUAAUGGUGGGAACUCAUGGGAUACUGCCGGGGUCAACUCGGAGGAAGGUGGGGAUGACGUCAAAUCAUCAUGCCCCUUAUGUCUUGGGCUUCACGCAUGCUACAAUGGCCGGUACAAAGGGCUGCAAUACCGUGAGGUGGAGCGAAUCCCAAAAAGCCGGUCCCAGUUCGGAUUGAGGUCUGCAACUCGACCUCAUGAAGUCGGAGUCGCUAGUAAUCGCAGAUCAGCAACGCUGCGGUGAAUACGUUCCCGGGUCUUGUACACACCGCCCGUCAAGUCAUGAAAGUCGGUAACACCUGAAGCCGGUGGCCCAACCCUUGUGGAGGGA